This 250-nucleotide ribosomal RNA is filed under the name uncultured bacterium. RNAcentral's name for it is "partial 16S ribosomal RNA". It matches the Rfam family "Bacterial small subunit ribosomal RNA", at positions 524 to 770 of the family's 1533-position model. The record is from RNAcentral.
UACAGAGGGUGCGAGCGUUGUCCGGAAUCACUGGGCGUAAAGGGCGCGUAGGUGGUGGCUUAAGCGUGCGGUGAAAGUCGGGGGCUCAACCCCUGAUCGGCCGUGCGAACUGGGGGGCUGGAGCACUGUAGAGGCAGGCGGAAUUCCGGGUGUAGCGGUGGAAUGCGUAGAGAUCCGGAAGAACACCGGUGGCGAAGGCGGCCUGCUGGGCAGUUUUGCUGGACACUGAGGCGCGACAGCGUGGGGAGCA